UGUAAAUUGGCAUGGAAAUUUAAAGCAGGUUCUUGUUGGUGCACAGCACAAAUUAGUUAUAUAUGGGGAUGGUAGUUUUUUCAUCUUCAGUUGUCUCUGAUGCAGCUUAUACGAAAUAAUUGUUGUUCUGUUAACUGAAUACCACUCUGUAAUUGCAAAAAAAAAAAAAAAGUUGCAGCUGUUUUGUUGACAUUCUGAAUGCUUCUAAGUAAAUACAAUUUUUUUUAUUAG
This 231-nucleotide long non-coding RNA is filed under the name Homo sapiens (human). Its description in RNAcentral is "non-protein coding lnc-KATNAL1-5:1". The record is from RNAcentral. Lineage: Eukaryota; Metazoa; Chordata; Mammalia; Primates; Hominidae.